Long non-coding RNA from Triplophysa rosa, 910 nucleotides. RefSeq lists it as uncharacterized. The record is from RefSeq and is a predicted model, not a curated record. NCBI's taxonomy places the organism in Eukaryota, Metazoa, Chordata, Actinopteri, Cypriniformes, Nemacheilidae. The transcript is spliced from 3 exons.
GCACAGGAGGGAAGAGCAAAACAAAUGUCUAUAAGGCACAAAUCAAUCUUCAGCAGAUCAAAGGUCUCCUUGAGUAAGUGGAUGCAAUUCAUGUACAGGUUUUCUCAGGGUCUACGGUUGAGGCAGAUAGACAUGAUGGAUGACAUUAUUGCAAGCAGUUCAGCGACUCUUAAUAAAAUGGCAACGAAAAUAAGGGAAGUCUGUGUCACAGCAGUUGAACGGAUGAGAAGACGUACAAGCCAGCAGAUUGGUGGAAGAAGGGAGUUUGUUGUGAUCGACGAAAGCCAUUUUCGGCACAAAAAAAGUAUGGUAGAGGAAGAAUGGCUGGCGGGUGGAAAAGAAAGAAAUGGGUCAAAUGUUAGGUGUGAGGCAUCAGCAGCAGCAAAUCUCUAGAAAACCUAUUCUACCUCUUCUGGAGAGAAGAUCUCGAAGACAUCUAGUCCCCUUGAUUGUGUAUCAUGUGAGGCCUGGAUAAUCAAUUAUCAGUGAUGUCUGGCGUGCCUAUCGCAUACUCCCUGCACUAGGGUACAACCAUCACACUGUCAACCACAGCAGGUGGUAUGUAGAUCCACACACUGGUGCCCAUACCCAGCAUAUUGAGAGGGGCUGGAAAUCCUACAAAGAGCAAAUCUGGAGGCUUAGGGGAAAUCGGACUGAGAUUUUGCUUUCUGACCAUCUUGCAGUGAUUGACUGGUAUGAAUCGAAACACCAUGAAUGUGCAUUUUGUCCGAUUGAUUCAUGACAUUUCCCGAAAGUACAAGUAGUCAUAUUCAGUCACAACCAGAACAAUUUCAUAUAAAAUUGUUUGAUCAUUUGUUCAAUAUUUGUUUUCCUAUCUCAGCUAAUUGUGUCUUUAGCUUGAAAUGUAGAAUUUAUUUGUAUUGUGUCACAGUAAGAUCUGAAUGUUGAA